RNAcentral lists this ribosomal RNA (253 nucleotides) under uncultured bacterium. Its description in RNAcentral is "partial 16S ribosomal RNA". It matches the Rfam family "Bacterial small subunit ribosomal RNA", at positions 524 to 776 of the family's 1533-position model. The record is from RNAcentral.
UACGGAGGGUGCAAGUGUUAUCCGGAUUCACUGGGUUUAAAGGGUGCGUAGGUGGGCUGGUAAGUCAGUGGUGAAAUCUCCAGGCUUAACUUGGAAACUGCCAUUGAUACUAUUAGUCUUGAAUACCGUGGAGGUCAGCGGAAUAUGUCAUGUAGCGGUGAAAUGCUUAGAUAUGACAUAGAACACCAAUUGCGAAGGCAGCUGGCUACACGAAUAUUGACACUGAUGCACGAAAGCGUGGGGGUCAAACAGG